This 509-nucleotide ribosomal RNA is filed under the name Listeria monocytogenes. Its description in RNAcentral is "bacterial SSU rRNA". It matches the Rfam family "Bacterial small subunit ribosomal RNA", at positions 31 to 519 of the family's 1533-position model. Lineage: Bacteria; Bacillati; Bacillota; Bacilli; Caryophanales; Listeriaceae. The record is from RNAcentral.
AGAACGCUGGCGGCGUGCCUAANACAUGCAAGUCGAACGAACAGACGAAAGAGCUUGCUCUCCCAAAGUUAGUGGCGGACGGGUGAGUAACACGUGGGCAACCUGCCUGUAAGUUGGGGAUAACUCCGGGAAACCGGGGCUAAUACCGAAUGAUAAAGUGUGGCGCAUGCCACGCUUUUGAAAGAUGGUUUCGGCUAUCGCUUACAGAUGGGCCCGCGGUGCAUUAGCUAGUUGGUAGGGUAAUGGCCUACCAAGGCAACGAUGCAUAGCCGACCUGAGAGGGUGAUCGGCCACACUGGGACUGAGACACGGCCCAGACUCCUACGGGAGGCAGCAGUAGGGAAUCUUCCGCAAUGGACGAAAGUCUGACGGAGCAACGCCGCGUGUAUGAAGAAGGUUUUCGGAUCGUAAAGUACUGUUGUUAGAGAAGAACAAGGAUAAGAGUAACUGCUUGUCCCUUGACGGUAUCUAACCAGAAAGCCACGGCUAACUACGUGCCAGCAGCCGCG